UAAGGAAUAUUGGACAAUGGAGGCAACUCUGAUCCAGCCAUGCCGCGUGAAGGAUUAAGGCCCUAUGGGUUGUAAACUUCUUUUAGACGGGACAAAACCCCUUUACGUGUAAAGGGUUGAUGGUACUGUCAGAAUAAGCAUCGGCUAACUUCGUGCCAGCAGCCGCGGUAAUACGAAGGAUGCAAGCGUUAUCCGGAAUUAUUGGGUUUAAAGGGUGCGUAGGCGGACUAAUAAGUCAGUGGUGAAAGCCUGCAGCUUAACUGCAGAAUUGCCGUUGAUACUGUUAGUCUUGAGUACAGUUGAGGUAGGCGGAAUGUGUCAUGUAGCGGUGAAAUGCUUAGAUAUGACACAGAACACCGAUUGCGAAGGCAGCUUGCUAAGCUGUAACUGACGCUGAGGCACGAAAGCGUGGGGAGCAAACAGGAUUAGAUACCCUGGUAGUCCACGCCCUAAACGAUGAUAACUCGCUGUUGGCGAUAUACUGUCAGCAGCCAAGCGAAAGCAUAAGUUAUCCC
This 515-nucleotide ribosomal RNA is filed under the name uncultured bacterium. RNAcentral's name for it is "bacterial SSU rRNA". It matches the Rfam family "Bacterial small subunit ribosomal RNA", at positions 355 to 871 of the family's 1533-position model. The record is from RNAcentral.